GGGGAUUUGGCUCAGUGGUAGAGUGCUUGCCUAGGAAGCACAAGGUCCUGGGUUCGGUCCCCAGCCCCG
Rattus norvegicus (Norway rat) is the source of this 69-nucleotide non-coding RNA. The record is from Rfam. Lineage: Eukaryota; Metazoa; Chordata; Mammalia; Rodentia; Muridae.